CGAUAUUGCCUGAGUGGUUAAUGCGAUGGCGUUUGAAGCGAAUGAUACUGGGUUCGAGUCCCAGAGUGAA
Molecule: transfer RNA, 70 nt
Filed under: Schistosoma mansoni
Lineage: Eukaryota; Metazoa; Platyhelminthes; Trematoda; Strigeidida; Schistosomatidae
Source: RNAcentral